GGGCACAUGGUGUAGUUGGUUAUCACGCCCGCUUAGCACUAUCGAAGCCGUUUGCGGGCGGUCCCCGGUUCAAUUCCGGGUGUGUCCA
Asterophora parasitica is the source of this 88-nucleotide non-coding RNA. The record is from the annotation of a GenBank genome assembly. NCBI's taxonomy places the organism in Eukaryota, Fungi, Basidiomycota, Agaricomycetes, Agaricales, Lyophyllaceae.